RNAcentral lists this ribosomal RNA (114 nucleotides) under Salvia splendens (bonfire salvia). The record is from RNAcentral. Lineage: Eukaryota; Viridiplantae; Streptophyta; Magnoliopsida; Lamiales; Lamiaceae.
GCGAUCAUACCAGCACUAAUGCACCGGAUCCCAUCAGAACUCCGAAGUUAAGCGUGCUUGGGGAGAGUAGUACUAGGAUGGGUGACCCCCUGGGAAGUCCUCGUGUUGCACCCC